RNAcentral lists this ribosomal RNA (364 nucleotides) under uncultured bacterium. RNAcentral's name for it is "bacterial SSU rRNA". It matches the Rfam family "Bacterial small subunit ribosomal RNA", at positions 8 to 353 of the family's 1533-position model. The record is from RNAcentral.
AGAGUUUGAUCAUGGCUCAGGAUGAACGCUGGCGGCGUGCUUAACACAUGCAAGUCGAACGGAACUCCUAUGAACGAGGUUUCGGCCAAGUGAAUAGGGUGUUUAGUGGCGGACGGGUGAGUAACGCGUGAGUAACCUGCCUUGGAGUGGGGAAUAACACAGUGAAAAUUGUGCUAAUACCGCAUAAUGCAUUUGGAUCGCAUGAUUCUGAAUGCCAAAGAUUUAUCGCUCUGAGAUGGACUCGCGUCUGAUUAGCUAGUUGGCGGGGCAAUGGCCCACCAAGGCGACGAUCAGUAUGGGUUCUGAGAGGAAGGUCCCCCACAUUGGAACUGAGACACGGUCCAAACUCCUACGGGAGGCAGCA